This 252-nucleotide ribosomal RNA is filed under the name uncultured bacterium. Its description in RNAcentral is "partial 16S ribosomal RNA". It matches the Rfam family "Bacterial small subunit ribosomal RNA", at positions 524 to 776 of the family's 1533-position model. The record is from RNAcentral.
UACGUAGGGGCAAGCGUUGUCCGGAAUUAUUGGGCGUAAAGCGCGCGCAGGCGGUCUCUUAAGUCUGAUGUGAAAUCUUGCGGCUCAACCGCAAGCGGUCAUUGGAAACUGGGAGACUUGAGUACAGAAGAGGAGAGUGGAAUUCCAUGUGUAGCGGUGAAAUGCGUAGAUAUAUGGAGGAACACCAGUGGCGAAGGCGACUCUCUGGUCUGUAACUGACGCUGAGGCGCGAAAGCGUGGGGAGCAAACAGG